RNAcentral lists this long non-coding RNA (1841 nucleotides) under Phocoena sinus (vaquita). RNAcentral's name for it is "lncRNA (ENSPSNG00000014270.1)". The record is from RNAcentral. Lineage: Eukaryota; Metazoa; Chordata; Mammalia; Artiodactyla; Phocoenidae.
GUCUUGACAUCAGAUCUUAGUGGGAUAUAAUAGAAAAGGGAAAUAAAUCUACUCUUAAAGAGCUUUCUCCACUUCUUCUUACCCCCGAGGUUUAUUGUUUCUGGAGGUAGUACUUAAGCAUGAUAUUUUGGCCCUGCUCAUUUUUCCUUACAGCUGAACCUUGCUUGAAUUUCUGUUUUUUUCAAUUAUUAUUAUUUUGGGGUUAUAUUUGUUCACUUGUUUUAUUUUUUAGAUUCCACAUAAAAGUGAAAAUGUAUGGUAUUUAUCUUUCUCUGUCUGACUUAAAUCACUAAGCAUAAUACCCCCCAGGUCUAUACAUUUUGCAAACGGCAGAAUUGCAUUCUUUUUUAUGGCUGAGUAAUAUUCUGUUGUAUAUAGAAGAUGUGGUAUUUAUUUUCUCAAGUAUUCGUAUUCUCUGGUAGCCAUUUUUCUCAAAGAGGCAAAGGGAAUAUUCAAAAGUCUUGUAGAUGGGUUACACUCUUUACUGAUCCUAUGUUAUAUCUUGUAUCUAACCAUUGUACCGGAGAAAUUUAUUACUGUCUAAUGGCCAGCUCACAUCUCUGGCUCGUGGGCACCAAGCCCUCCACACUACGGCUCCAUUUAAACUCACAGAGUCUCUUGUAUGCAUGACUGAUGGGAAAAUUUCUCUUUUUUUCCCUAGCAUUUUUUCUAAGGUUAAACAUAAAAACUGCCACAAACUAUAAGCACAGUUUAGUGGAUUAUAGGUGAUCUCUGUUUCUUUGUGCUCUUCAGUAUUUCAAGCGAGUUUUUUUUUUUGGGGGGGAUGUGCAUCAUACUUUCAUAAUCAGAAAAGAAAACGGAAAAAUCAUUAAAGUCUGCUCUGACUAUAGAAAUAGAGACUUUCUCAGAGGUCUUCUUAGCUUUAGAGGAAACUAUUAAAAACUCAUUGGUCUCACCUGAAAUUUACUUAGAGACAUAUAUUUUUCUAAAGGUGAUUUUGUUCUUUUUUUUUUUUUUAAUUAAUGUUUAGUUUCUCAUUAUCUUGCAGUUUCAAUAUGGACAGCCUGCCAGGAAAUGGUAGCUCAGGGGACUCACUGCUCAGGGACCAGCGGGGUGGGGUGUAAGCAGGGAGGGAGAGCCGUGGUGGCUGCUGCCUGGGCACCAUCACCUUCCCAGCUGGUCUGUCUGGACGGCUUUGCCUUCAGCCCAGAAGCCAGCGAGGCCUGAGAGGCACACAGCUUCCUGGAGUUGAGAGUACUUGUUGGGCCGUGCUGUCCUGACCUUCUCUCUAAGUUGGCACAGUGUACCAUAUGGACGACCUCAAGAGACUAAGGCACCGUUUCUCUGCCCAGAGGACGUGCCGUCUAGAGUGGGAGCAGUGCUGCCCAGAGUGUGCCUCAGAGGUCAAGGUCUGUCCCCUCACCGAAGGCACCUGGAGCCGGUCAGUCACGGCUAAAAGCAAGUGUUGAUGACCAACUGCCCACGAUCUCAGGAAGAUGGGAAUUAGGGCUGAAGAUGGGGUCCCUGGAACACUUGUUUCCAAGGCAGCUGCCUACGAGGCGGUCCGCUAGGAUGUGGGAAGAACAUUUUAGAAUUUGUUUUACUUUUUCAUUUCACUCAUUUAAGGUUUGUCCUUGAACCUGUUUUAUAUGUGUAUAGUAGUACAUGCAUACAAUUUGUGAAACAAAACUCAGAGUGCGUGGUUGUAAUUUUCUCACCGAUGAGACAGUGCUGACAUUAACACUCGCUUAUCUUCCGAUUACUGAAUCAGAUGGCACGUUCAGCGUGUGACCAACCUAUGCAGCAGCCGUCUUUGUCUUCACGUCCACAAAGGAAAAAAAGGAGUUAAUUGUCUAACAGAAGAGUUGGCACUCAUGCAC